This 253-nucleotide ribosomal RNA is filed under the name uncultured bacterium. RNAcentral's name for it is "partial 16S ribosomal RNA". It matches the Rfam family "Bacterial small subunit ribosomal RNA", at positions 524 to 776 of the family's 1533-position model. The record is from RNAcentral.
UACGUAGGGACCAAGCGUUGUUCGGAUUUACUGGGCGUAAAGGGCGCGUAGGCGGCGUGUUAAGUCACUUGUGAAAUCUCUAAGCUUAACUUAGAACGGUCAAGUGAUACUGAUGUGCUAGAGUGCAGAAGGGGCAACCGGAAUUCUUGGUGUAGCGGUGAAAUGCGUAGAUAUCAAGAGGAACACCUGAGGUGAAGACGGGUUGCUGGGCUGACACUGACGCUGAGGCGCGAAAGCCAGGGGAGCAAACGGG